Molecule: long non-coding RNA, 5252 nt
Organism: Gasterosteus aculeatus aculeatus (three-spined stickleback)
Lineage: Eukaryota; Metazoa; Chordata; Actinopteri; Perciformes; Gasterosteidae
Source: Ensembl
GUCAGCAGACAAAGUGAGGUAGCGAAGAAACAGCUAUAAAAGAUAUUUUUAUAUAUAUAUAUAGAGAUCAACUGCGACUCCAAAUACAUGUGAACUGUUGACUUUUUCUCCCUUUGUUGUGUGUUGCAAUCAUUGUUUUACUAUUAAAUUCUUGCUCAAGCAAAAGUAAAAAUAUUUUGCAUUCCUGAGCACAACAGAAAAAUGGGUUUUAUACCCAGUCAAAUUCUAUAAUAUUAUUAAUACUGUCUGUGGGCCGUGGCUGCCAUGUGAACGACUCCUCUGCGGUCGAGGUCUGGCCACUUCUGUUCACGGGUUCCAAUAAACCCAGAUUACAAAAAUGCUGAAUUUAAAGCUUUCAAGCCAAUAAUCCAAUGGGUGACAUCACAACGACUACAUCCACUACAUUUUUUAUACAGUCUGUGGCUGUAACUUGGUCAGAACCACUGAUUCUAUGCGUACUGCAUGCUUAGUAUGUCCAGUAUCAACGUGUUAACAAGCAAUAAUUUGAAGACAACCCCAAAAAUUGUGAACACAAAAGUGUUAAAAAAUAGCUGCACAUUAAAUCCAAAUUUCAUUACCAUUUAGUCAAGUUGUUUUCUAACAUGUAUAACAGGUUUCCAAACAAAUCUUGAAUUUUUACCAUACGGGCAAUUAUGUUCUCUCCCUAACAAGAGGUCUUCUUACCUUUUUUAUUGUAACAACUACUGCUUGAAAUUGCUAACGGCUCUAGUUUAAUACUGAACGGACGGACGUGAGAGUGAUAUCUUACUCUAAGCAAAGAAGGCAUUCAUAGAAUAAUACAUACAUGAGGCCCCAGGAGACCAGAGGACACAGACACCAAGCUGUGAGUACAGCAUGAAGGGAUGCCAUGACAUAUAUUGUAGCAGCAGGAUUGCCCGAGCAGCACUCUACUCACCAACAUCCUCUGUUAUGCACGCACGGAUGCACACACACACACAAGCGUCUCCACCAUGACCUUAUCCCCAUGGUAAAUUAAUUGAGCUAAUUAAGGGUGUGUGUCAGUUCCAUUGCCAGGCAAUGUCCAUGCCUUAUCUCAAUCCCACAAUGCACUUGAUCACAAGCUGCUGUGUUUAAGACGCUCCCACAAAGUGAUUCAUUAAUCCAUGAGCGGCGGGUCGUUAAGACACACCGCGUCCCUCUGACUUCAAAGCGACUGUGGUGAAUGCUGGGAAGGAUGGAGGUUGUGUGGAGGCGGACAGUCAAGUUGCAUGUUCAGAACUACUCUGUUGAUCACACGCGAAAAGCCAACAGACAAGCUGAAUGUGAGGGUUAAAGGGCAGAGCGAAGCUAAAUCUCUGAAGGGUUUAGUUUGCGUCUGUCCACUGCUGAUACGUCUAAUCAGCAUUAACAAUUUGUCAGAAAAUGUAUUUCAGUCAAUGUUUUAUAUUGAAUCACAUACGCAAAACGUAAACACAUGUUUCUAUUUCAUCUGUUCCGUUUUUUUAUCUUUAAAGAACAUGCAAUGCAAUGUUAUCUUUUUGGACUGCUGCACAUCGUAGUUAAUUACCGAGCAAAGAAAUAGCGGCGGGAAUAAUUUUGCUUAUUGUCUCAGAAACUGCUCUUUCAACAGCCAUUCAAAUAAUUGGAGAAAAAUAACCAACUGAAAAUUGUGUACACAUAUCUAUUUAACUUCUUUGUUGUCCCCCCCUCAAAGCUUAAUGCCACAAUAGACCCAAAGAGAUUCAUUCUUCUCUCCGAGGAAAGGCAGCAGCUUUCAAGUUCAGUUCACUGAAGCUGCAAGACACAGGGAGAAAAAUGCACAUUUGAAGAUCAAAAGGGGGGCUGUAUUGUGAGUUUGUGGGUGUGUUUUUAUGUGUGUGCAUGAGGGAGAAAGAAAGAGAAGGAGCCACUGUGGACUGCAGCCGUAACCAUCAGCUGGUUGAAGCUUGAUUAAAUUGACUGACAAUGUCUUGUGUGGGAAGUCUGAACUUGACCUUUCUGACCUCCAGGCUGCACAUGAACCAUUCAUGCACACCGACAGAGCUGAUAAUAAAAUGCAUGCACGUGAAAACAUUUCUGCACACACACAACCACAUAAACAGACUCAGUUGAUCCAUCCAUCCUUGAGUGGACGUGUGAGGGGUGGGAUGCUAAUCGUACAGACUCCUCCGGGUCCUGGGGGAUGUGACCCGCCGCCUGGCGAGGAAGACAGGCGGAUCCGACAGACUGUUCCCAUUCACGGCAGGGGGCCUCCUCUGGGAGCUAUUCGUGUUUGUGUGUAGUCAUCUGGGGUGAAAGGGAAACUUAAAGGGGAAGAAGGCGACGCUCGGAAGUCAAUCGGCGAAUCGUCGAUUUGAAGCAAUUUGACUGGAGGGGACAAUCUGGGAAAUAUAUCAAAUAAGAAAGUACACCAUCAACCUCAGAAACCAUCAACCUUAGACAACCUCUUCAAAAGCACAGCAAUGCUCUGUAUAGAUUGUCGAUCCAUGUGUGUUAAUCAGACAUCAGGAAGCUUCAGGUCAGUGGAGCAGGGAAUGGACUUUCUCUGGUCCUGACAGGGAGACGCUGUCCAUAAUGGUUUUCUACCAGUGGAGAAAUUAACAAGCCAUUUAGAAUAGAGGAAUGUCAACUGGAAAACUUUCCUUACACCUUAGAUACAGAAAUGUGGUAAAAGCCAACCUUUAAAUUCCGUCACUGGGUUGGAGAAGUUGCCUUAUGUUUAUUUGAGCUGUGAAAAAAUGAGUGCAGAUAAAUGAGGCCGUAUGGAUCCUGACUGCUGCGGUAACUCUGUUACUGGUUUAUGCCUUUAAUACUAAAUGGAAAUAUUCCAAGCCUUAUGAACUGUGUGACACAUAAAUGCCAGAUGGUAUAAUUCUUUAGCGCAUGUAAAUCCUUUAGUUUGCACCAACCGACUGAAACGAUGAGCUAACAUCACUGCGAUGGAAUUCUCUGCCUUACAACUAGUCUACUGACGGUUGGCCUUUUGUUUAUUCAUUUUCCUACCAGAAACCCCGAGGACGGUAUCCACUGUAAUAAUCAGACAAGAAAUUAAAUCCUUACGAUUACUUAAUUGGAGAUGCUAAAACCUCAUCCAUCUGGUAUAAAGUAGUCAGGAAACACGAACUACCGUAUUUUCCGCACUAUAAGGCGCACUUAAAAGCCUUUAAUUUUCUCAAAAAACGUGCGCCUUAUAAUCCGGAGUGCCUUAUAUAUCGAUCAAUUGGUUAAUUGGUUGAUCUCAAGGCGCUCUGCCAAACAUGCCAAAGCUCGGUCUACGACGGCGAGAUGCUGAGCGGCGCUCAAGCGCGUGAGAUAUGGAGCUUGUUUCAGGGCGCGUCGGAGAAACAAAGCUGUCGUUCUCGCCGAGCACUUCAUGAGAUUAAAUAGCGAGAGACGGUGCCCUUUUCUCUACAGUAGCUGAACCAUUUUAACGGGGAAAAUAAGUUAUUCUACAGGCUGGCGCAUGUUUCUGCUUCUGCGUCUGCGUCGUUGCGUCGACGCACUCGUUUCAAUUCAUGGUUCUAAAAUUCUUGUGUGUGUUGCAGAGCAAUUCACCGCCAGAACAGGCGGAGUAACGUGUUUUUGUUGAAGACGACCUAGAGAGUCACGUCUAUUUAUUUAUUUGUUUAUUUAUUUAUCAUAGACUUUAUUGCCCCAUGCAUCGCCACUGCUGCUUUUCAUCGCGGACACAUUUGUCCCGUAUUUUCCUCCACAACUUUGUGCACCUCUCGACCGGCAAACCGGCGUUUGCGGAGAUCUCCCUCCACAAAUCGGGAGGCCGUCCGCGCGUCCUUAUAGUCCGCCAAUGGCGGCUUGUAUAAGCUCUUCAAUCUGAUCCGUUCUCUCGUAAACAUUCUUCGUUUUAAUAAUGGCGGUAUUGUGCUAUGAACCUCGCAGCAUCGAUCGGACCCUGAGAGCAGAGUCUCCACCUCCCCACAUCCACCCGCCCCGACGUCAAACGUUUGACUGCAGUAUCUUAUGCACCUUAUAAUCCGGUGCGCCCUAUAUAUGAAAAAUGUUCUAAAAUAGGUAAUUCAUUGAAGGUGCGCCUUAUAGUGCGGAAAAUACGGUACAGCUUUGGGGAUGUUCACCACCCUUGGUCAGCUUCGUAUGGAUACAAUGUGUACGCCUAUGAUGGGCUGAAGGUCAGCACCACCUGCACUUAACACCCACUCCUCUCCUUCCGACUCUCACACACACACACACACACACACACACACACACACACACAAAGCUUUCUCUCUGCGGUGACAGUAAACCGUCUCGUUGCACCCCCCACCAUUCAACUCCCACCCCCACAGCCCGACUCUUCACGGCUGUCACCUUUGCCUCGCCAGGAUAAACUAAACUGCUCACCGGAUUUCCUAAAGAUACGACUGCCACUUGUGAUGCUGCGGUUCUGCCAUGCGCUUGAUGCGACGCACACUGACAGAUACCAAUGGACUCCUCAGCUAAAAUAUACAAUUACAAUUGCACUGGGUUCAGCAUGUGAUAAAACACGAAGCCCUUUUCAAUUGUAACAAAACGAGAUUAAAAAGGAAAGGAGGGGCAAAUACAGAUCAUGGCUUUAUUGACUAGGGGAACAGAAUUUUGCAUGCAAGGAGAGGUGGAGGAAGGAGGGUGGAGGAAGGAGAGGUGGAGGAAGGAGGGUGGAGGAAGGAGAGGUGGAGGAAGGAGGGUGGAUGGGGGUUGAAGAAACGAGCGUCUCGCGCUUUGCAAGAAAUGUAUCAUAAUGUUCGCGCUGCGAGAUCAUUUGCCUCUUGACAGGAUCAUUACGAGAUUCAGUGCUCCCACUACCAUUACGUAAUUUCAGCGUUCCUCCUUGGAUGGAAUUUUAAUUGAAUUAGCCCGGCUGGUUACACAUGGUGUGAACGAUAACAUUUUCUGUCUAUCUGGGCUCAUUGAAUCCGGUGGGUUGGGGUGGGUGGGGGUUUAAGAAAGGCUAUUAAAAAAAAAAAGGUGGUUUUGGUUUGUUCCAAUAUGCUUUCUUCUGGGUCUCUCUCUCUCUCUCUCGGUUGCUGCUGGUCUUCCUGUUCAACAACAAUAACUGCCAUGAAAAUCACCGGCCAGGCCGAUGGGAGCCGACUGAGGCUCCGUAUUACGCACUCAGAGGCACUCUGCAGUCUAAGUGCCCAUGUAAGCUUAGGGCAGUGCGAGCAUGAUGUACGGUUCGGGGGUAAACGUCUAAGUAUUAACACCUCCAGAGAACAAACCUCCAACAGCCACUCAAGUACAUUCCCUUAAGAAUGAUUAAUGAUGCUCGUCAUGUUAUGAAAGGCAGGCAGAGGGGG